CCGUUAAGUCAGGGGUGAAAUGCUGCGGCUCAACCGUAUCACUGCCUUUGAUACUGGCGGUCUUGAAUCAUUGUGAAGUGGUUGGAAUAUGUAGUGUAGCGGUGAAAUGCAUAGAUAUUACAUAGAACACCGAUUGCGAAGGCAGAUCACUAACAAUGUAUUGACGCUGAUGGACGAAAGCGUGGGUAGCGAACAGGAUUAGAUACCCUGGUAG
This 214-nucleotide ribosomal RNA is filed under the name uncultured bacterium. Its description in RNAcentral is "partial 16S ribosomal RNA". It matches the Rfam family "Bacterial small subunit ribosomal RNA", at positions 580 to 793 of the family's 1533-position model. The record is from RNAcentral.